RNAcentral lists this long non-coding RNA (574 nucleotides) under Setaria viridis. RNAcentral describes it as "long non-coding RNA (SVIR_LNC007948)". The record is from RNAcentral. Lineage: Eukaryota; Viridiplantae; Streptophyta; Magnoliopsida; Poales; Poaceae.
UAAUUGCCUUAAUCUUCUCUUUAGCACUUUGGUGGAUAGAGCACUUGUGUGUAUGUGAGAACCAAGCCUAUAGCUUCUCCAGCCUCUAACACCCUUGAAAUGGCCGAGCAAUGGGGUAUAUAUAGAACCAACCUCUAAAACAAACUGUUGCUCCAACAAUCACCAAAAAUAGUGAUCACCGUAUCAUUUGGUGCAUGCAUAAGAACUUCUAGAGCCAAAUUUGAGCCGAGCCGAUCACACCGAUCAUACUAUGUUUCCAUUGUCUCUACUGUGAUCACUGCAUUGCGGUUUGAAGAUCCUCGAUUUGUUGCCGAUCUUGUUAUGGAUAUGGCCACAUCUUCCGUUUUUGCUGGGCCAAAUUAGCUGUCAGCAAAUCUUUCCAUCCCAAAGCUAGCCCAUCUGAUACAGUCCCGCCGUUACCCCGCAACCAAGGGACUUUUACUCCCUUGCCUACCAAGAUUCUUGCCCCUUCAACUUCCUCGGAAAACCCUCCCCCCGCACCUCGCCUUCCUCUGUUGUCACCUCCCACACCCCUGCUUCCAUGGCAAAUUUUGCUCUUGAUCCCCACCCCCAC